UUCCAGACUCCUACGGGAGGCAGCAGUGGGGAAUAUUGCACAAUGGGGGGAACCCUGAUGCAGCGACGCCGCGUGAGUGAAGAAGUAUUUCGGUAUGUAAAGCUCUAUCAGCAGGGAAGAAAAUGACGGUACCUGACUAAGAAGCCCCGGCUAACUACGUGCCAGCAGCCGCGGUAAUACGUAGGGGGCAAGCGUUAUCCGGAUUUACUGGGUGUAAAGGGAGCGUAGGUGGCGUGUCAAGUCAGGAGUGAAAACCCAGGGCCCAACCUUGGGACUGCUCUUGAAACUGGCAGGCUUGAGUGCUGGAGAGGUAAGCGGAAUUCCUAGUGUAGCGGUGAAAUGCGUAGAUAUUAGGAGGAACACCAGUGGCGAAGGCGGCUUACUGGACAGUGACUGACACUGAGGCUCGAAAGCGUGGGGAGCAAACAGGAUUAGAUACCCGGGUA
RNAcentral lists this ribosomal RNA (446 nucleotides) under uncultured bacterium. RNAcentral's name for it is "partial 16S ribosomal RNA". It matches the Rfam family "Bacterial small subunit ribosomal RNA", at positions 329 to 792 of the family's 1533-position model. The record is from RNAcentral.